Molecule: ribosomal RNA, 253 nt
Filed under: uncultured bacterium
Lineage: Bacteria
Description: partial 16S ribosomal RNA
Rfam family: Bacterial small subunit ribosomal RNA
Source: RNAcentral
UACGAAGGGGGCUAGCGUUGCUCGGAAUUACUGGGCGUAAAGCGCACGUAGGCGGCUUCUUAAGUCGGUGGUGAAAUCCUGGAGCUCAACUCCAGAACUGCCUUCGAUACUGAGAAGCUUGAGUCCGGGAGAGGUGAGUGGAACUGCGAGUGUAGAGGUGAAAUUCGUAGAUAUUCGCAAGAACACCAGUGGCGAAGGCGGCUCACUGGCCCGGUACUGACGCUGAGGUGCGAAAGCGUGGGGAGCAAACAGG